Molecule: ribosomal RNA, 252 nt
Filed under: uncultured bacterium
Lineage: Bacteria
Description: partial 16S ribosomal RNA
Rfam family: Bacterial small subunit ribosomal RNA
Source: RNAcentral
AACGAACGCUGGCGGCAGGCUUAACACAUGCAAGUCGAACGCGUGUAGCAAUACACGAGUGGCGCACGGGUGAGUAACGCGUGGAUAUCUGCCUUUUGGUUCGGAAUAACCCCGGGAAACUGGGGCUAAUACCGGAUGGUUCCUUCGGGAUAAAGAUUUAUCGCCAAAAGAUGAGUCCGCGUACGAUUAGCUAGUUGGUGAGGUAAUGGCUCACCAAGGCGACGAUCGUUAGCUGGUCNGAGAGGACGAUCA